UGGGGCGUCGACAAGUGGUAAGUCACAUGAUUUUGGUUCAUGUAUACGUAGGUUCGAAUCCUACCGCCCCAGCCA
Molecule: transfer RNA, 75 nt
Filed under: Deltaproteobacteria bacterium RIFCSPHIGHO2_02_FULL_40_11
Lineage: Bacteria; Deltaproteobacteria
Description: tRNA-Gln
Rfam family: tRNA
About the family: Transfer RNA (tRNA) molecules are approximately 80 nucleotides in length. Their secondary structure includes four short double-helical elements and three loops (D, anti-codon, and T loops).
Source: RNAcentral